RNAcentral lists this ribosomal RNA (659 nucleotides) under uncultured Gammaproteobacteria bacterium. Its description in RNAcentral is "bacterial SSU rRNA". It matches the Rfam family "Bacterial small subunit ribosomal RNA", at positions 56 to 711 of the family's 1533-position model. The record is from RNAcentral. Lineage: Bacteria; Pseudomonadati; Pseudomonadota; Gammaproteobacteria.
UGCAGUCGAGCGGCAGCGCGGGGGCAACCCUGGCGGCGAGCGGCGGACGGGUGAGGAAUGCGUCGGAAUCUGCCUUGUUGUGGGGGAUAACGUAGGGAAACUUACGCUAAUACCGCAUAAGACCGCGAGGUGAAAGUGGGGGACCGCAAGGCCUCACGCGACAAGAUGAGCCGACGCCGGAUUAGCUAGUUGGUGGGGUAAAGGCCCACCAAGGCGACGAUCCGUAGCUGGUCUGAGAGGAUGAUCAGCCACACUGGGACUGAGACACGGCCCAGACUCCUACGGGAGGCAGCAGUGGGGAAUAUUGGACAAUGGGCGCAAGCCUGAUCCAGCCAUGCCGCGUGGGUGAAGAAGGCCUUCGGGUUGUAAAGCCCUUUUGUUGGGAAAGAAAUCCUGUCGGUUAAUACCUAGCGGGGAUGACGGUACCCAAAGAAUAAGCACCGGCUGACUUCGUGCCAGCAGCCGCGGUAAUACGAAGGGUGCAAGCGUUACUCGGAAUUACUGGGCGUAAAGCGUGCGUAGGCGGUUCGUUAAGUCUGUCGUGAAAGCCCUGGGCUCAACCUGGGAAUUGCGAUGGAUACUGGCGAGCUAGAGUACGGUAGAGGAUGGUGGAAUUCCCGGUGUAGCGGUGAAAUGCGUAGAGAUCGGGAGGAACACCC